RNAcentral lists this ribosomal RNA (478 nucleotides) under uncultured bacterium. RNAcentral describes it as "partial 16S ribosomal RNA". It matches the Rfam family "Bacterial small subunit ribosomal RNA", at positions 28 to 507 of the family's 1533-position model. The record is from RNAcentral.
GAUGAACGCUGGCGGCGUGCUUAACACAUGCAAGUCGAACGAGAAGUGAAGACGGAAACCUUCGGGCGGAAGGCUUUAUUUCGAGUGGCGGACGGGUGAGUAACGCGUGGGUAACCUGCCUCAUACAGGGGGAUAACAGUUGGAAACGACUGUUAAUACCGCAUAAGACCACAGCACCGCAUGGUGCGGGGGUAAAAACUCCGGUGGUAUGAGAUGGACCCGCGUUCGAUUAGCCAGUUGGCGGGGUAACGGCCCACCAAAGCGACGAUCGAUAGCCGAUCUGAGAGGAUGACCGGCCACAUUGGGACUGAGACACGGCCCAAACUACUACGGGAGGCAGGAGUGGGGAAUAUUGCACAAUGGGGGAAACCCUGAUGCAGCGACGCCGCGUGAGUGAAGAAGUAUUUCGGUAUGUAAAGCUCUAUAAGCAGGGAAGAAAAUGACGGUACCUGAGUAAGAAGCCCCGGCUAACUACGUG